GAUGAACGCUGGCGGCAUGCCUAAUACAUGCAAGUCGAACGAGAGAGAACGAGGUGCUUGCACCAUGUUCGAUCUAGUGGCGAAUGGGUGAGUAACACGUGAGAAACCUGCCCUCUAGACUGGGAUAACUUCUGGAAACGGAUUGUAAUACCGGAUGUCACCAACAAAUCGCAUGAUCAGUUGGAAAAAGCUUAGAUGCACUAGAGGAUGGUCUCGCGGCGUAUUAGUUAGUUGGUGAGAUAGUAGCUCACCAAGGCAACGAUACGUAGCCGACCUGAGAGGGUGACCGGCCACACUGGGACUGAGACACGGCCCAGACUCCUACGGGAGGCAGCAGUAGGGAAUCAUCGGCAAUGGGGGAAACCCUGACCGUGCAAUGCCGCGUGAGUGAAGAAGGCCUUAUGGGUUGUAAAGCUCUGUUGCGAAGGAAGAACAAUCUAGAUAGAAUCUAGAUCUGACGGUACUUCGCCAGAAA
This 475-nucleotide ribosomal RNA is filed under the name uncultured bacterium. Its description in RNAcentral is "bacterial SSU rRNA". It matches the Rfam family "Bacterial small subunit ribosomal RNA", at positions 28 to 489 of the family's 1533-position model. The record is from RNAcentral.